CCUANGGGUGGCAGCAGUGAGGAAUUUUGCGCAAUGGGGGCAACCCUGACGCAGCAACGCCGCGUGGGUGAUGAAGGCCUUCGGGUCGUAAAGCCCUGUCAGGUGGGAAGAAUGUCCUGGGGGUGAAUAAUCUUUGGGAGUGACGGUACCACCAGAGGAAGCACCGGCUAACUCCGUGCCAGCAGCCGCGGUAAUACGGAGGGUGCGAGCGUUGUUCGGAAUCAUUGGGCGUAAAGGGCGUGCAGGCGGCCAGACAAGUCUGAUGUGAAAGCCCGGGGCUCAACCCCGGAAGUGCAUUGGAAACUGUAUGGCUUGAGUACCGGAGAGGAUGGGGGAAUUCCCGGUGUAGAGGUGAAAUUCGUAGAGAUCGGGAGGAAUACCAGUGGCGAAGGCGCCCAUCUGGACGGAUACUGACGCUGAGACGCGAAAGCGUGGGGAGCAAACAGGAUUAGAUACCCUANUANUC
Molecule: ribosomal RNA, 466 nt
Filed under: uncultured bacterium
Lineage: Bacteria
Description: bacterial SSU rRNA
Rfam family: Bacterial small subunit ribosomal RNA
Source: RNAcentral